ACGUUUCACAGUUGCGAACUAUUUUAUGAAAUGACUUAUUGGUGAUGGCUUAAAAUUUUAUUCGGUUUUCUGAAUAAAAUUUGGGAGUGAAUUGUAACUUUUGUGGAAGUCAAUCGUGUAUAAAUGGGUUACACCAUUAGAUUAAUACUAUAUUUUUUAUUUAAUUAUAAGUAGUUAGUAACUAAUUAAAGGAGUACGUCAUGGUUUGGUUAAAUUCUAAUUAGUACACGGCGUGUUUUUGGUGGUUGAGAAAAUAAUGCGAGUCUGGUGAGUACAACUUUGUAAAACGCACAGUUUUAGUUUGUUUUAAAAUUUAUCCCAUUUAUUUUAUUAUUAAUGUUAAUUUAUUUUAUAGAUACCAAUUAAUACGCUGUCUGCUGUAAACACAUUUUUAGAAAACAAUGUAGCGGGACGGAAGAGAGUACAGGUGUCAGAAGGACCCGGAGAACCAACAAGGGUCAGAUUAGGCCCUUACGCCAGAAGACGGGCCCAUAAGCAAGUAGUCAUAGUCCAGGAGCCUGCCGAGCAAGGCCCUCAAGAAUCCAACUAGAGCUAUUUAUUCGAGACUUAGUACCUGAAGUUACUAAAUUAUAUUUUACUUUCUGAAAAAGAAAGAUAAUUUUGUACAAACUGCAUCACAAAUAUAACAUACAUGUGUAAAUAUUUUAAUUUAAUAUAUUAAACAAACGUUUAAAAUAA
Molecule: long non-coding RNA, 699 nt
Organism: Helicoverpa zea (corn earworm)
Lineage: Eukaryota; Metazoa; Arthropoda; Insecta; Lepidoptera; Noctuidae
Exons: 2
Source: RefSeq, a predicted model, not a curated record